This 386-nucleotide ribosomal RNA is filed under the name uncultured bacterium. RNAcentral describes it as "bacterial SSU rRNA". It matches the Rfam family "Bacterial small subunit ribosomal RNA", at positions 30 to 416 of the family's 1533-position model. The record is from RNAcentral.
AUUGAACGCUGGCGGCGUGCUUAACACAUGCAAGUCGUGCGGUAACAGGCGUAGCAAUACGUGCUGACGAGCGGCGAACGGGUGCGUAAUACAUGGGAAUCUGCCCUUUAGUGGGGAAUAACCCGGCGAAAGCCGGGCUAAUGCCGCAUAAGAUCUUCGGAUGAAAGCGGGGGAUCGUAAGACCUCGCGCUGAUGGAUGAGCCCAUGUCGGAUUAGCAGUUGGUGAGGUAAAGGCUCACCAAGGCGACGAUCCGUAGCUGGUCUGAGAGGACGGCCAGCCACACUGGGACUGAGACACGGCCCAGACUCCUACGGGAGGCAGCAGUGGGGAAUUUUGGACAAUGGGGCAACCCUGAUCCAGCCAUGCCGCGUGAGUGAAGAAGGCC